GAUUAGAUACCCUGGUAGUCCACGCCGUAAACGAUGAGUGCUAGGUGUUAGGUCCUUUCCGGGACUUAGUGCCGCAGCUAACGCAUUAAGCACUCCGCCUGGGGAGUACGACCGCAAGGUUGAAACUCAAAGGAAUUGACGGGGGCCCGCACAAGCGGUGGAGCAUGUGGUUUAAUUCGAAGCAACGCGAAGAACCUUACCAGGUCUUGACAUCCCUCUGACCACUCUAGAGAUAGAGUUUCCCUUCGGGGCAGAGGUGACAGGUGGUGCAUGGUUGUCGUCAGCUCGUGUCGUGAGAUGUUGGGUUAAGUCCCGCAACGAGCGCAACCCUUAUUGUUAGUUGCCAUCAUUCAGUUGGGCACUCUAGCGAGACUGCCGGUAAUAAACCGGAGGAAGGUGGGGAUGACGUCAAAUCAUCAUGCCCCUUAUGACCUGGGCUACACACGUGCUACAAUGGCUGGUACAACGAGUCGCAAGCCGGUGACGGCAAGCUAAUCUCUGAAAGCCAGUCUCAGUUCGGAUUGUAGGCUGCAACUCGCCUACAUGAAGUCGGAAUCGCUAGUAAUCGCGGAUCAGCACGCCGCGGUGAAUACGUUCCCGGGCCUUGUACACACCGCCCGUCACACCACGAGAGUUUGUAACACCCGAAGUCGGUGAGGUAACCGUAAGGAGCCAGCCGCCUAAGGUGGGAUAGAUGUUUGGUUUGAAGUCGUAACAAGGUAGCCG
This 726-nucleotide ribosomal RNA is filed under the name uncultured bacterium. RNAcentral describes it as "bacterial SSU rRNA". It matches the Rfam family "Bacterial small subunit ribosomal RNA", at positions 776 to 1502 of the family's 1533-position model. The record is from RNAcentral.